GCGGCUUUAGCUCACUUGGGAGAGCGCCAGACUGAAGUCAAACUUCAGCCAAUGAUUAUCUGGAGGCACUGUGUUCGAUCCACAGAAGCCGCA
Molecule: transfer RNA, 93 nt
Filed under: Amylocarpus encephaloides
Lineage: Eukaryota; Fungi; Ascomycota; Leotiomycetes; Helotiales
Description: tRNA-Phe
Rfam family: tRNA
About the family: Transfer RNA (tRNA) molecules are approximately 80 nucleotides in length. Their secondary structure includes four short double-helical elements and three loops (D, anti-codon, and T loops).
Source: RNAcentral